CUAUAGAAUGAACAGUACGACUUGAUGCAUCCUAAAUUUUCGUUUGAGGUUAUGUCAUGAUAUAUACAAAAACGUAUCUGAGACGCUAUUUAGUGAUCAGGAUAUUGCAAUGAACAUAAUGAUAGAGCAUCAUAUCUAACAUUAGUUCAUACGUGUAGAAACCCAGGAAUAAGUAUUAGUAUAGGAAAAAGAGAUUGUUCAAAGAACUGAAUUUCCAAAUUAUAUAUAUGUUUUGGUGCCUUUAAACACUGAAUUGCUUGAGGGAUCUUUCUUAUUUUAGUUGCAUGUCUAUAUAUAUGUGGAUGCAGCCAUAUGUACUCUCUGUUUUUGGGGAGACAAAAAAGGUGGCUGCCUCAUUGAAGCGUUGGCUGCACACCAAAUUUACGCCUGCAACAGCAACCUACCGAGAUAUAACAAAGCAGGUAAAGACAUUUGUAGUUUUCUGAAUUGCUAUUUAGGAACAGUGUUAACAGCCCAAUGUUUAUGCAAACAAUUGCUAUGUAGUCCGAAACAGCUCUCACGAUGUUUUUUUUUCUGUACUUGCCUUGGUCAGCUUGACAUUAAGAUUUCAUUUCCAUGAUCGUGCUGCAUUCUUUGUUGAAUGUUUUUUCGUGUCCUGGCAUGCAUUGUAUGUUUCUCCCACGGACAGGUAUAUGCUAUAAAAAUUAAUUUCCACGCAGAUAUGCAGCACAUCACAAAGGAAAAUAAAUCACUUGAAUUGUAAAUCUUGCAAUCUGAAACCUGAGAUCAGAAUUUCUCAAUAUUGGAAGAUAGGAGAGAGUUUCAUGGUAUCUGAUCUACGCAUGAUAACAUGUUGCUUAGUGCAGGUGUAUCUCAAAGCUAGAUUUGUACGAGACCAACAAUGUCUCUUAUUCCUCUCAAAUGUUUUUAUUUUGACAAAAUUGGUUUUGUUCCAAUGAAAUAAUGUUAUCAUACAGGGUUGCAGCGACGUUAGUACUUGCUCUCAUACAGUUGUAUUUGAUAUAAAAUUCCCUAUGGCAAUUAUAUGCUAGUGAUGAUGCUUUUAAUCAUUUGCAUUUAGAUGCCACAAGUAUCAUUAUGAUCUAAUUUAAAAUGAAUGCGCAGGCAUUUGUAGGAAGAUCGUGGAGUCGGUUACCACUGUCCAUCGUGAGGUAUGUAUUAUUCAUAUGCUGUUAUCUAUGCUUACUCAGUACUCUACUCGUUGGAGAAGUGACUCGCUUGAGCUGGAAUUGACUACAUGGAUUAUAGGCAGAGUUCAUUGCUGAAUGCUGAUUGUUGUACAUUUCAGUUUGGACCGGGCACUGUUCUAGCAGUGCAGUGACUGAGUCAUCGAUAUAUAGGUUGGAAGGAAAAUUAAGAGAAUAGGAUUACCCUUGCUUGAACCAAAGCACUAGAUAAUCGAUGAUUAUUAGGGAGUUCGAACUGGACUCUCUUCCUAUUUUUCAAUGAAAACAUUUCCUUGUUAACUAUAUAGAUACUUUAUUUUUGAGAUAUACAUAUAUAUAUAGAUAGCUUGUUUGACUUGCUAUUUCUCACAAUUUGUAGGGCUUGUUUCUUGAGUGUGGUCUUACUUCUCAUAUGUGCUGGAGGUUUUUGCACACCGAUUUUGAAGAAUGAGUUUACUAUGGAUUUCUGUCCUCUAAAUACUUCUGACACUUGUCCAGUACCACUAUCCCAUCCGUUUAAAAGGCCUAUCCCUAUUCACAGUACAUGGUUAACUGAACACAUACUUGAGGCUCGAUCAGAACCCAUAACGCUUCAGGAUCAGAAACCUACAUGUAAUAAUUCACAAAGGUAAUAAUAAAAAAAUGUAUGAUGUUGAAGUUUCUCGUGAUCCUUUUGUUGUAUUUAACAUUUUAUCUACUCUGUAUUUUUAGCUCCGAUUUCCGGAUUGUCUCUAAGGGGGCGCCUAUAAUUUCAUUUGUUGCAAACUUGGGACCCUUGUAAGUAUUGGAGUCUGUACUCUUUAUUUGGAAACUAUAUAUGGAGCUAUAUCAAUAUACAAAAAUCAUAAAUCAAGCCUUUAGCUGUACAAUUUUUUUUUGACCUCUUUUGAAGUGCUCCAACUUACCUCCUAAGAGGUAUGGUAAGAGUUUAAUUUUGUCGGUGCAAUUCCCAGUCGUCAUAUAGACAAUGUCGCUAGCUUUAACAGCAAGUUAUGAUUUAAAGAGAAGACUUAAAUUUGUUCUUUUAUAUCGUCUGCUGCAACUGUUCCUUUGUUUUACCGCCCACUUUAAUUUCUCUUCUAGGAUGAAUAUUAUUGUCUGUGGCUGGUGUUCCUUUCUGAUUGUGCCUUAUGUUUUCCUUCCAGAAUUAAUGUGUAUGGAAUUGGACAAGUCAAUGAAAGAGGAAAGCAUCUUCUUGCUACUUCUUGUAUAUUCAUAUCUAUAUCAAAUUUCUUCUGGAAGCGGUAUCAACAGACGGAUGACUGUCCAAAUGGAUUCAUAAUAACCAUCUUAUUGCUGGCUGGUGUUGUGUAUUUGGUCUAUGCCUGUGUCUUUUGUCUCAACUCAGAAUCAGAUGUGAUCAUAGGAUUGUCAUUAUACUUAGUUAUUCUGGGUAUCUCUGUUAGUACAACAGUUGAUUGGAAAAGGUUAACAGCAAGUAUACUUGGCCUGAUUUGCAUGGGAAUUGGUCAUGUUGUUCGAGUUGCUACCAUUCGAAGAUAUCACCUUGGUAAUGUGAUAUUCGCCGGUUUUGGCUUGUGUGGUGGCCUCCCAGUAGUUUAUAGAAGGAACUGGCAGACUCAACCACUUUUUAUGGUAUAAUUACUUAAUGAGGAAACAUGUUGUUUACACAAAUUUCCAUAUAAUUACUUAAACUAAUGUAACUUUUGAACAUCUGGCAAAUCUGCAGGUCAGCACUUUGAUAUCAUCUGGAAGCAGGAUUAUUGAUUUCGGCAUGCAACUUUAUUAUUAUCGUAGAGCACCUAACGGUGAGGAUGAUGCCCAUGUCCCACCUUUGGUUCAAGUUGUACAUAAAGAUAUUGUGCAGUGCUCUAACCAGUUCCCUAUACCACAAGGCGUUCAUGAUGGACUUAUUGGUGGUCUAAAUGUUGCAGGUGAAGUUGGUGAUGCUGGAGGAGGUGCUCUAGAUAAUGGAGGAGGUGCUCUAGAUAAUGGAGGAGGUGCUCUAGAUGAUGGAGGAGGUGCUCUAGAUGGUGGAGGUGCUCUAGAUAAUGGAGGAGUUGCUCUUGAAAAUGGAGGAGGUGCUCUAGAUGGUGGAGGAGGUGCUCUAAAUGGUGGAGGAGGUGCUCUAGAUGAUGGAGGUGCUAUUGCGGAAGGUGGUGCUAUUGCGGAAGGAGCUGCUAUUCAGAAUGACCUUGCACCUGCUAUUGAUCAAGAAGAUGGUAAUUGAGGAGUUCGAGAAGUGGUGGCUGAGGCUCAAUUUGCUAUUACUCAGAAUGCCCCUGCACCUGCUGGUGCUCCAGAUGUUGAAGUUGCUACUGCUGCUGAUGGUGCUCUAGAUGUUGAUAUUGAUCAAGAAGAUGGUAAUGGAGGAGCUCUAAAAGUGGCGGCUGAUGCUCAAGUUGCUAUUAUUCAGAAUGCCCCUGCCCCAGCUGGUGCUCCAGAUGUUAAAGUUGCUACUGCUGCUGAUGCAGAGUAGCUAUCUACUGCACGUUAUUCCUUUUUGUUCUGCGUUUGAGCUUUAGGCGAACGGAUGAAAGGCAGUCCAAUAUCAUCACCAGCUUCAGACAAGCCGAUUGAGCUAGUGUAUUUGGGCAACUAAAUCAAUAGGCAAAUUGGAUUAGCUUCACCUUGUUCGCCUUAAGAGUCGUGGAUGAUUCUACGUAUAGUUAGGAACUGUACUUUUGUUAGGAAUUGUUACCUAGGAGGGUAGCUGCGUAGCUGGUUAUUUGUUUUUACUGUGAACGCUUGUGAAAGCCUAAGGGGGGUGACUGAGAGGAUUGCAGUGGCACUUUACGGCACUCCCAAGUGUUGGUGUUUAAGGAUACCCUGUUCUAAACUUUUUUACCUUUGCCAUUACGGUUUCAUAAUUCGUAAUUUGGCUGAGCUCCAAAAUAAUGCUUCUCUG
This 4017-nucleotide long non-coding RNA is filed under the name Hordeum vulgare. Its description in RNAcentral is "long non-coding RNA (HVUL_LNC011504)". The record is from RNAcentral. Lineage: Eukaryota; Viridiplantae; Streptophyta; Magnoliopsida; Poales; Poaceae.